RNAcentral lists this ribosomal RNA (774 nucleotides) under Discocriconemella sinensis. RNAcentral describes it as "partial large subunit ribosomal RNA". It matches the Rfam family "Eukaryotic large subunit ribosomal RNA", at positions 339 to 968 of the family's 3401-position model. The record is from RNAcentral. Lineage: Eukaryota; Metazoa; Nematoda; Chromadorea; Rhabditida; Criconematidae.
GGAGUACAAAGUACCCGGAGGGAAAGUUGCAAAGCACUUUGAAGAGAGAGUUAAAGAGGACGUGAAACCGGUAGGAUGGAAACGGAUAGAGCCAGCGAAGUCGCUUGUAUUCAGCCAAAGACUCGGGGCUAACCGCCGUCGUGUUUCUAAUCGAGCACGGUGGUGGGGUUGUCUCGGGUUGAGGUGCACUUGCGGGCGUUUGCGCUGAGACUUGCGGGGUAGCUUCUGGCACCGCGACUAGAGGCCUCCCUUUGGGUUGAACCUGGUCUGCGGGAACAGCUGUUUGCCCUGCUCGUACUUGGGCUGAAGUGCCCGGGUUGCGUCGUUGUCUGCUUGCCAUGGUAUCGCAUGCGAUGCCUAGCUUGUGGGCUUCGGUUCGGCUCGGGCCUAGGCUCGCCUCUCGGUGUAGAAGCUGGUCAUCUCUCCGACCCGUCUUGAAACACGGACCAAGGAGUUUAGCGUAUGCGCGAGUCAUUGGGUGUUCAAACUCAUAGGCGCAAUGAAAGUAAAGGCUCGGUCGCCGGGCUGACAUGCGAGUGCGGGCGGCAACGGCCCCAGCACGCAGCAUGGUCCCGUUGCAGUCGCUUGCGACGCAGCGGAGACAGAGCGUAUGCGCUGAGACCCGAAAGAUGGUGAACUAUUCCUGAGCAGGACGAAGCCAGAGGAAACUCUGGUGGAAGUCCGAAGCGAUUCUGACGUGCAAAUCGAUCGUCUGACUUGGGUAUAGGGGCGAAAGACUAAUCGAACCAUCUAGUACUGUUUCCUUCCGACGGG